This 814-nucleotide ribosomal RNA is filed under the name Sarocladium junci. Its description in RNAcentral is "partial large subunit ribosomal RNA". It matches the Rfam family "Eukaryotic large subunit ribosomal RNA", at positions 76 to 921 of the family's 3401-position model. Lineage: Eukaryota; Fungi; Ascomycota; Sordariomycetes; Hypocreales; Sarocladiaceae. The record is from RNAcentral.
UGCCUCAGUAACGGCGAGUGAAGCGGCAACAGCUCAAAUUUGAAAUCUGGCCGCAAGGUCCGAGUUGUAAUUUGCAGAGGAUGCUUUUGGCGAGGUGCCUUCCGAGUUCCCUGGAACGGGACGCCAUAGAGGGUGAGAGCCCCGUACGGUAGGACCACCGAGCCUUUGUAAAGCUCCUUCGACGAGUCGAGUAGUUUGGGAAUGCUGCUCUAAAUGGGAGGUGUACGUCUUCUAAAGCUAAAUACCGGCCAGAGACCGAUAGCGCACAAGUAGAGUGAUCGAAAGAUGAAAAGCACUUUGAAAAGAGGGUUAAAAAGUACGUGAAAUUGUUGAAAGGGAAGCAUUUAUGACCAGACUUGGACUUGGUUGAACAUCCGGCGUUCUCGCCGGUGCACUCUGCCAGUUCAGGCCAGCAUCAGUUUGCCCCGGGGGACAAAGGCGGUGGGAAUGUGGCUCCUCCGGGAGUGUUAUAGCCCGCCGUGUAAUGCCCUGGGGUGGACUGAGGAACGCGCUUCGGCUCGGAUGCUGGCGUAAUGGUCAUCAAUGACCCGUCUUGAAACACGGACCAAGGAGUCGUCUUCGUAUGCGAGUGUUCGGGUGUCAAACCCCUACGCGUAAUGAAAGUGAACGUAGGUGAGAGCUUCGGCGCAUCACCGACCGAUCCUGAUGUUCUCGGAUGGAUUUGAGUAAGAGCAUACGGGGCCGGACCCGAAAGAAGGUGAACUAUGCCUGUAUAGGGUGAAGCCAGAGGAAACUCUGGUGGAGGCUCGCAGCGGUUCUGACGUGCAAAUCGAUCGUCAAAUAUGGGCAUGGG